ACGCUCGACACCUACGGAGGCAGCAGUGGGGAAUAUUGCACAAUGGGGGAAACCCUGAUGCAGCGACGCCGCGUGAGCGAAGAAGUAUUUCGGUAUGUAAAGCUCUAUCAGCAGGGAAGAAACUGACGGUACCUGACUAAGAAGCACCGGCUAAAUACGUGUCAGCAGCCGACGGUAAUCUGAGCGGGCUGGCAAGGC
RNAcentral lists this ribosomal RNA (198 nucleotides) under uncultured bacterium. RNAcentral's name for it is "partial 16S ribosomal RNA". It matches the Rfam family "Bacterial small subunit ribosomal RNA", at positions 328 to 539 of the family's 1533-position model. The record is from RNAcentral.